UACAGAGGUCCCAAGCGUUGUUCGGAUUCACUGGGCGUAAAGGGUGCGUAGGUGGUGGGGUAAGUCGGAUGUGAAAUCUCGGAGCUCAACUCCGAAAUGGCAUUGGAAACUACCCUGCUUGAGGGUCGGAGGGGGGACUGGAAUUCUCGGUGUAGCAGUGAAAUGCGUAGAUAUCGGGAGGAACACCAGUGGCGAAGGCGGCGAUCUGGGAAGAUACUGACGCUGAGGUGCGAAAGCGUGGGGAGCAAACAGG
This 253-nucleotide ribosomal RNA is filed under the name uncultured bacterium. RNAcentral describes it as "partial 16S ribosomal RNA". It matches the Rfam family "Bacterial small subunit ribosomal RNA", at positions 524 to 776 of the family's 1533-position model. The record is from RNAcentral.